This 548-nucleotide ribosomal RNA is filed under the name uncultured Glomeromycotina. Its description in RNAcentral is "SSU rRNA". It matches the Rfam family "Eukaryotic small subunit ribosomal RNA", at positions 548 to 1098 of the family's 1831-position model. The record is from RNAcentral. Lineage: Eukaryota; Fungi; Glomeromycota.
UUGGAGGGCAAGUCUGGUGCCAGCAGCCGCGGUAAUUCCAGCUCCAAUAGCGUAUAUUAAAGUUGUUGCAGUUAAAAAGCUCGUAGUUGAAUUUCGGGAUCAAAUUGUCGGUCGUGCCUCGGUACGCACUGGUAUUAUUGGUUCCUACCUUCUGAAGAACCGCGAUGUCAUUAAUUUGGUGUCGUGGGGAAUCAGGACUGUUACUUUGAAAAAAUUAGAGUGUUUAAAGCAGGCUUGCGCUUGAAUACAUUAGCAUGGAAUAAUGAAAUAGGACGUUUGAUUCUAUUUUGUUGGUUUCUAGGAUUGACGUAAUGAUUAAUAGGGAUAGUUGGGGGCAUUAGUAUUCAAUUGUCAGAGGUGAAAUUCUUGGAUUUAUUGAAGACUAACUACUGCGAAAGCAUUUGCCAAGGAUGUUUUCAUUAAUCAAGAACGAAAGUUAGGGGAUCGAAGACGAUCAGAUACCGUCGUAGUCUUAACCAUAAACUAUGCCGACUAGGGAUCGGAUGAUGUUAAUUUUUUAAUGACUCAUUCGGCGCCUUACGGGAAAC